Molecule: unclassified non-coding RNA, 526 nt
Filed under: Hevea brasiliensis (rubber tree)
Lineage: Eukaryota; Viridiplantae; Streptophyta; Magnoliopsida; Malpighiales; Euphorbiaceae
Source: RNAcentral
AGGCAAAGAAGGUUCUGGUAGGUCUGAGCCUGUGGGACUGGAAAUCCGAAGGGGUCGUGCUGGUAUUGGGAAAGAAGAUGAUAAGGUAGAGAAGGUGAGGAAGGAAAUGGAGAAGGCUAACAGGGAUAGAAGAAGAGAAGAAGAGCUAAUGGAAACUUUUGGAUCUCACCUGAAGGAGCGUUGGAAGGAUAAGAGGAUUGUAAGAAAUUUUCACAAGGCUGAUGCAGUACUAGCUCAGUUAGAGAAUAGGGAGGUUGUAACGGAGAAAAAGGAAGAAGAGGAUGUAGGAAAGGAUGAGGAGGAGGAAGAGGAAGAACCGAUCACAGAAGAGGAUUUGCUCAAUACAUUGAUGAAGCUGAGAGAUGAGUAUCAUUACUGUCUUUUCUGUGGAUGUCAGUAUGAAUCAACCGAGGCACUGCAGUCUAACUGCCCUGGGAUAACCGAGGAUGACCACUAGAUGACAUUUCCCAGUAGGCCUUAGCAACAACACCUUGAGAAGGAUUUAGAAUCCUUCCUGCAACAAAUG